UUCUUGUGAUCUUGAAAAUUGCAGACUGCAAAUAUCCAAUGAACUCAUAAACAUUUGCACUUCUCAAAAGAUUUUCUCUCAUCACAAAUUUGCAUCCCACAAACCAACUUCUUACAUGACAGAGACAACACUCACAUCCUAACUAGAACUAAAACUAACACAAAUAGAAUUGCAAAAAACAGCAGCACAACUAUCUUCACAAGAGCAACCAAAUCUGAAACACUUCCUGACAGUGAUUUUAACAGCACUGUCAUCUUCACCAUCUCUUCAGUGCAGACUUGUUCCACUUCCAUCUUGUUCUUCCCUUUCUUUGUCAUCUCUACUUCCUUACUGCCGACAGAUUCACUUAUGAGAUGUCCUUGCUACUUUAGAUAUUGAAUGUAACUCUUUUCCCAAUGCCAAAACUUGCAAGGGCUUUUCGGACCUAUUUCACAAAAUGAAGAACAAAAUUGAGAAAACAAUUCCGAAGGGGAUCAGAGAUUCAAAACAACACGCAAGGAUUCAUCUCUUACUAACCUUAUGAUUCAUGCACUUGUAAAAUGUCCACCCAAGAUGCUUGUCUGUGCCAGACUCAAACCGCCUGAUUUGACGGAUCUUACAAUCAGGAGCAGUGGAUCUAAGGGAGCCAGCCCGCAGCGACCAUGACAUUACUUGAUGAGCUACCCAUGCCGGACAUGGCGGCCCU
Molecule: long non-coding RNA, 685 nt
Filed under: Triticum aestivum (bread wheat)
Lineage: Eukaryota; Viridiplantae; Streptophyta; Magnoliopsida; Poales; Poaceae
Description: long non-coding RNA (TAES_LNC017195)
Source: RNAcentral